This 220-nucleotide ribosomal RNA is filed under the name uncultured Diversispora. RNAcentral's name for it is "partial small subunit ribosomal RNA". It matches the Rfam family "Eukaryotic small subunit ribosomal RNA", at positions 591 to 815 of the family's 1831-position model. Lineage: Eukaryota; Fungi; Glomeromycota; Glomeromycetes; Diversisporales; Diversisporaceae. The record is from RNAcentral.
CCAAUAGCGUAUAUUAAAGUUGUUGCAGUUAAAAAGCUCGUAGUUGAACUUCGGGGUCUACCCAUUGGUCAGGCUUAAUUGUCUGCACUGGUGAGAUGGAUCUCUACCUUCUGAGGAACUUUCAUGCCAUUUAUUUGGUGUGGUUGGAAAUCAGGACUGUUACUUUGAAAAAAUUAGAGUGUUUAAAGCAGACUAUCGUCUGAAUACAUUAGCAUGGAAU